AGGUCCGUAGCUCAAUUGGCAGAGCACUGGUCUCCAAAACCGGGGGUUGCAGGUUCAAGUCCUGCCGGGCCUGCCA
This 76-nucleotide transfer RNA is filed under the name Synergistales bacterium. RNAcentral's name for it is "tRNA-Trp". It matches the Rfam family "tRNA". Rfam says of the family: Transfer RNA (tRNA) molecules are approximately 80 nucleotides in length. Their secondary structure includes four short double-helical elements and three loops (D, anti-codon, and T loops). Further hydrogen bonds mediate the characteristic L-shaped molecular structure. tRNAs have two regions of fundamental functional importance: the anti-codon, which is responsible for specific mRNA codon recognition, and the 3' end, to which the tRNAs corresponding amino acid is attached (by aminoacyl-tRNA synthetases). tRNAs cope with the degeneracy of the genetic code in two manners: having more than one tRNA (with a specific anti-codon) for a particular amino acid; and 'wobble' base-pairing, i.e. permitting non-standard base-pairing at the 3rd anti-codon position. Lineage: Bacteria; Thermotogati; Synergistota; Synergistia; Synergistales. RNAcentral also lists the same sequence under 1 other name. The record is from RNAcentral.